This 450-nucleotide long non-coding RNA is filed under the name Monodelphis domestica (gray short-tailed opossum). Its description in RNAcentral is "lncRNA (ENSMODG00000045844.1)". The record is from RNAcentral. Lineage: Eukaryota; Metazoa; Chordata; Mammalia; Didelphimorphia; Didelphidae.
GCAUGGUGAACAGCAAUCUGGGGCAGGGGAUUCCACACUGUGUAUACUGCUGCCUGAUGUAGUGAUGGCAGUUCAGGUCCUGUGCAACCAGCGCUGUAGUCUCCAUUAUCCCAGACAGUGGUAUACAGAUUUGUUCAUAAUUGUUUGUUUGUUUGUUUUUUUAAUAGUCCAGCCCUCCAAUGGUUUGAGGGACAGUGAACUGUCCUCCUCUGUAAAAAGUUUGGGGACCCCUGCCUUAGACAAUCACAUGACAGUGCCUAGGGGAUCUUGCCGAGUCUCCAUUGAGCACACUGGGCUGAAGGUCCUUACAAUCUGUUUUCUGCAUGGAGGGGAAAGGGAUCACAAAGGAGCACAAAGUUGAUUUUCACAGUUCCUAGGAGCACAAGGUCAAGGAGACCAACCAAUCCCAGUAGGAUUGAUGAGAUUCUGCACCAAGACAAGGGACUUUAA